This 217-nucleotide long non-coding RNA is filed under the name Olea europaea (common olive). RNAcentral's name for it is "long non-coding RNA (OEUR_LNC003049)". Lineage: Eukaryota; Viridiplantae; Streptophyta; Magnoliopsida; Lamiales; Oleaceae. The record is from RNAcentral.
GAUAAUUCAAAAAAAACAAAACAAAACUGGUUACUAAGGCAUUGCUUGUAGAUAUGCCCAUCUAAUCUCAUCUUGUAAAUUAAUAGGAUGUUCACUAAGGAGCUUCAUUUUUCUCGGAUCCCUUUCGAUCAAAGUAGAUUGUUGCAAAUCAGAUUGUGAAGAUAAAUGACACUUAGUUUCAGGAGAUGAAAUUAGAUGAUGAUGAACUGAAAUAUCC